AAGUCGUAACAAGGUUUCCGUAGGUGAACCUGCGGAAGGAUCAUUAAAUGAUACAUGGACAUUCCAGUUCCUGUACACCCAACCUGAGUACCUUCUCCUGUUGCUUCCGUGGGGCAGCGAACGGUCAGGUUUUUCCACAUGACUGCUGCUGGCUGGAAAGUUCCCCAUGGCGAUUGCACGCUGUGGAGACCCCACGGGAGGACCCACACAAACCCUGAAGCGAUUGAUCUCUGUCCGAUGCGAAGCUUCUUUGCAAAAAGCAAAACUUUCAACAACGGAUCUCUUGGUUCUC
This 292-nucleotide unclassified non-coding RNA is filed under the name fungal sp. Its description in RNAcentral is "partial internal transcribed spacer region". The stretch from base 1 to 46 matches the Rfam family "Eukaryotic small subunit ribosomal RNA", at positions 1786 to 1831 of the family's 1831-position model. The record is from RNAcentral. Lineage: Eukaryota; Fungi.